This 449-nucleotide ribosomal RNA is filed under the name uncultured bacterium. RNAcentral describes it as "partial 16S ribosomal RNA". It matches the Rfam family "Bacterial small subunit ribosomal RNA", at positions 29 to 523 of the family's 1533-position model. The record is from RNAcentral.
AACGAACGCUGGCGGCAUGCCUAACACAUGCAAGUCGAACGAGAUCUUCGGGUCUAGUGGCGAACGGGUGCGUAACGCGUGGGACUCUGCCCCUUGGUUCGGAAUAACAGAUGGAAACGACUGCUAAUACCGGAUGAUGACGAAAGUCCAAAGACUUAUCGCCAGAGGAUGAGCCCGCGUAGGAUUAGCUAGUUGGUGUGGUAAAGGCGCACCAAGGCGACGAUCCUUAGCUGGUCUGAGAGGAUGAUCAGCCACACUGGGACUGAGACACGGCCCAGACUCCUACGGGAGGCAGCAGUGGGGAAUAUUGGACAAUGGGCGAAAGCCUGAUCCAGCAAUGCCGCGUGAGGGAUGAAGGCCUUAGGGUUGUAAAGCUCUUUUACCCGGGAUGAUAAUGACAGUACCGGGAGAAUAAGCUCCGGCUAACUCCGUGCCAGCCGCCGCAGUAA